GAUCCUGACUCAGGAUGAACGCUAGCUACAGGCUUAACACAUGCAAGUCGAGGGGCAGCAUGGUCUUAGCUUGCUAAGGCCGAUGGCGACCUGCGCACGGGUGAGUAACGCGUAUCCAACCUGCCUUACACUCUUGGACAGCCUUCUGAAAGGGAGAUUAAUACAAGAUGUUAUCAUGAGUAAGCAUUUUCACAUGAUUAAAGGUUUACCGGUGUAAGAUGGGGAUGCGUU
Molecule: ribosomal RNA, 231 nt
Filed under: uncultured bacterium
Lineage: Bacteria
Description: partial 16S ribosomal RNA
Rfam family: Bacterial small subunit ribosomal RNA
Source: RNAcentral